RNAcentral lists this long non-coding RNA (452 nucleotides) under Mytilus galloprovincialis (Mediterranean mussel). The record is from RNAcentral. Lineage: Eukaryota; Metazoa; Mollusca; Bivalvia; Mytilida; Mytilidae.
AUCUAUACAAAAUGUCUUUAUUCAUUUAUUCGUCAGUGAAAAAUGAAAACAACACGCCACAAAACCCUCGAGUACGAAGCACACCUUCGGAUUCACAACCACCAAGUACGCCCAAGGGCAAAUAUUUGAUAGAUAAGGAUGUGCAAGAACUGACAAUUGUGAAAAUACUUUAAACAGAGACUAUACAAAUCAUGCAAUGGGUUAUGCAUGUCAAUGAUCAAAAUAAAAGACGAUAUCAUUAUACUAAUACAGUUUCAAAAUUGUCACAAGCAUAGAUAGCAGGCUCAGUGUAAUAAAUCUUCUGAUAUGAAUAUGGACAAAAAGGAAAACAUUGAAUUCCCAUUGAGAAUGGAAAAUCCCGUUUAUCAUACGGAACAAAUUCUUGUGAAAAUAAUGAUAUUCUAGUCAACGAGUACUCGAGUACUUUAGUAUCGCUAGGUAUUACCAUUUAU